This 289-nucleotide non-coding RNA is filed under the name bovine gut metagenome. The record is from RNAcentral.
CUGCAGGUGCCUCCGCUAUUCAAAUCGGAGGUGAAAAGGGAACCGGGUGGAAAUCCCGGACUGUCCCGCAACUGUAAUUGGCAGGAAGUCAUAUCCACUUUCCGCAUACGGCCACUGGCAGCAGUUCACAUUUACAGAUUCUUCUCCGGGAUCUGUAUGUAACUGCAUGGAAUACUGCCGGGAAGGCGCGGAAAGGAGCCUGUGGUGGAAACGUCACGAAUUGUCAUGACACAUCAUGACAUGUUUCCGGACAGGCUGUGCCAUAAGUCAGGAGACCUGCCUGCAGGAG